CUUCUGUCAGGUCCAUCAGAUACACUGUGAAAUAGAGAUGGUAUAUAAAAAAAACGGCCAAUCUACAAUCUUCGGAAGCCUCUAUCAGUGAAUGUUACCCAGUCUCAAAAUCGGUGAUCAAAAUCAACUACAGUGAACAGUGUGUAAAGAGUUCAGCUUUCUAGAAUCAUAUCGUCGACGAACAGCCAGGAACGAUCUGAUAUUGGACCCAAAUGUAGCGGAAGCCUUCCACAACUCCACAAGGUUUACCCAGUAUAAAUAGAUUCGGUGUAUUUCAAAUAUUUAACGUUGCAUAUGCCUCAGUUCAUCAUGCCUUCUUACUGAUUCUAACUAAGCCUCAGAAGCAAUGAACAAUUGAAUAUAGGAAUAUCAUUCUCUCACGCCAGACCGGUUGAAUUUAUUUGAAUGAGUUGUUGAUAGGCAUAGUUUGGCUCAAUCACAACUGAUGAUUCAAUAUGGUCUGAGGGUGUUGCAGCUACUAGCCGAGGAUUAAAGCAGAACGUGGACUUGAAGGUGAUUCUUUCCGAUGCAAAUGUUCCAGGUGAAGGGGAGCAGAAGGUUAUGUCAUACAUUUGUCUUCAAAGAAAUCCCUUGGCUAGCUGAGAGCUUGGAGCUGGUGAGAAGGAAAUCAAUUGUGGUUCGAUAAAUAGGGAAAGCAUUUCUCAGCUGCCAAAAGAACCACUUUGGAGAAACUGGAAGCUAAUAUCAAGACCAGAAGCUAACUUAUAUCCAGCAAAAAGAUGUGCAACAUGAAGCCUCAAAAGUCUUGCACAAAACAAGUCUCAAUGUGCUUUUUGAUUGGCUCAAUCUGUUCAGGCCAACUUCCAUCAAAGAGUUCUCAUACACCAAGUUUCAUUUCAACUGAUUGAUUGGGGUCAAGAAAUACCCAAGUGUACUUGACCUCAAAAGGUAGUUGGUAAGGUCAAGUACAGCUACUCCAAUUUCUCCACUGUAAUCAAUAAAUUCAAAUAAGUUUGCACAAAGAUUCUACCAAGUAAUGUUAUGAGAUCAACAAUAUUAUUGUC
Long non-coding RNA from Rosa chinensis, 1025 nucleotides. RefSeq lists it as uncharacterized. NCBI's taxonomy places the organism in Eukaryota, Viridiplantae, Streptophyta, Magnoliopsida, Rosales, Rosaceae. The record is from RefSeq and is a predicted model, not a curated record. The transcript is spliced from 5 exons.